RNAcentral lists this ribosomal RNA (517 nucleotides) under Amynthas sp. SC201102-02. RNAcentral describes it as "partial 16S ribosomal RNA". It matches the Rfam family "Bacterial large subunit ribosomal RNA", at positions 1807 to 2621 of the family's 2925-position model. Lineage: Eukaryota; Metazoa; Annelida; Clitellata; Crassiclitellata; Megascolecidae. The record is from RNAcentral.
UCAAAAACAUUGUCUCAUGAAUAAAAUAUGAGAUAAUACCUGCCCAGUGACAUAUUUGUUCAACGGCCGCGGUAUCCUAACCGUGCAAAGGUAGCAUAAUCACUUGCCUAUUAAUUGUAGGCUAGAAUGAAGGGGUUAACGAAAUAAAAACUGUCUCAAUUAAUUAACUAAAAAUUAUUUUCUAUCUGAAGAAAGGUAGAUAAACUCGAAGGACAAGAAGACCCUAUAGAGCUUAAUUUUAACUAUAGAGCUAUCCUAUAUAAAUAUUCGGUUGGGGCGACCCAGGGCUAAAUAAUCACCCAAUUUAUAAAAGAUAUAUUAAUCAAACAAGUGACCCUUAUAAGAUCACAAGAACAAGCUACCUUAGGGAUAACAGGCUAAUCCCACUUAAGAGUCCUUAUCAACAGUGGGGAUUGGCACCUCGAUGUUGGCUUAGGGUAUCCAUAUAGCGCAAAAGUUAUAUAAAGAUGGUUUGUUCAACCAAUGACACCCUACGUGAUCUGAUUCAAAAACCGGA